CUAAAGCCACCAUUAACAUUGUUGUGGAUUACAAACUGAUAUUUCCUCUUUUAAUGAACCUUUUAAGUUUAUUUUAGCUGCAGGUGUCUUGAAAUAUCUCCCCACAACAGGCAAGUGAGAGAGAUAGGACUAACUAUGUAUUCAAGAUCAGCAGCAAGAGGAUUUCUAGCUUUCCUCCUGUCAUUACCAGGUUGGUACCUUUGCAUUACACACGUUGAAUUUUCCCAAAGCUUUUGCACUUAUAUUAUUUAAAGCUUUAUGUAACCUACUCAGUCGAUUAAUAAUUGAUAUAACUUUGAAUAACCUUCAAGUACAAACAAAGAAUGUUGAAGAAUGGCAGAUAUUACUAGAAUAGGUUUGGUGUGUUGAAUAAUUUCAAAUGUUUUUACGCUUUUUUGGUUUAAAAAAAUAUUUAUGGAUUUAAAUUGAUUUAUGUGAAGCAUUUACUAACUUUAUCGACAAAUCGAAGAUUUAGGAAGUAGGAUAGAAAUCUAAAAUACGGCAAUAUACUGUACAUAUACUAUUUUGUCAUUUGUAAAACAAUGUGAAUAUCUAUCUUGAAUCAUUUCAUAUCAUAACAAAAAAAAAAUUGUACAACAUGAACAUUUAUAAUAGUGGGCGGAGACACUGUUUUUCUUAAUUAGGAAAUGACCUUCCCUUGCUCCAUCAAUAGCCCACCCACGCUUGUGCCAGAUUUUUUAUGUUGAAUUUCACUAAGACAUGGAUCUCACUUUACAUCUGUAAAUGACAGAUCUCCCUGCUCGGUUAGGUAUCACCAGCUGUUUAGCUAGCUUUAACAGUAGCUCUAUCACUAGCUGUGUCACUAGCUCUAUUACCAGCUGUCUCGCUUGCUCUGUCGCUGGCUGUAUCACUAGCUCCAUCACUAGCUGUAUAAUGUUGGUCUCAUUAUGUUCUUGAACGUUCCUCUCACAGCUCAGUGGUCCGCAUGUAUCUGUAGUUUCAAGCUCCACCUAACAGCCUCCAUUUCUUUGUGUAUCUUGUGAUCAUGCAUUUCAUCAGUUGAGCCUCUGUAUAUUGUUCAAUUCUCAAUGACAUGUGUUUCUUCUUUCUUUUUCAGCGCUACAGGGUAAAAUUGGUUGGGCAGUUACUUACACAUCUAGUAAUAUCAGCGCCUUAAGAGGAUCAACAGUUAAUAUCAGCUGUAUCUAUAAAUACCCUUACGGCCGAUAUUUCCGCCCUACCAAAGUCACAACACUGUGGUUUACUAAAGGAGAGAUCGAGCUGCCAGUUAACCUGAAACAUGAUGCUGACUAUGCAGGACGUGUUGAAUACAGCGAUGGAGAGAUAAGCUGUAACUGGUUCAGUUGUAAGGGAACUUGUACUCUGCGAAUCAAAGACCUGACACAGAGUGACUCUGCUGAGUAUAAGUUCAUGUUCAUAACAAACAUAGAAGGAGGGAAAUUUACUGGUGACCCUGGAGUCAUGCUAUCUGUCACAGAGACAUCGCCUUCUUCAUCAUCACUGACAACAUCAGUCAAUGUCAGAAUCGUUGUGGUUUCAUUGGCCACAGUACUCCUUGUUUUUCUUUUCAUUAGAAGAAAAAGGGCCGACAGAGAAGCAUCGGGCCAGGGGAAAGCAGCAGAGAAGGUUGGCGAGGUGGAGGAGGAGCAGAGGGACAGAACUUAAGACUUUUGACUCAACCAUCAUUUUACUAAUCCUCCCACUAGAAGAAGUCUCACCAUGCCAGACACUGUGUGGGAUCUGUGUUGACCCAAACGUAAGCUGAUGUAUAAGACUAAAGUAACAUGGUACAGGACCUGUUCCUACCCUUCCCUGUGGUCACCAGAUAAUGGUAUGGGUCAUUCUAUGUUCCUCCCCUAUGGUCACCAGAUGACGGCAGACAGAAUCGGAUUUCAGAGGCCAGCAUGUUUUGUUUCCCUGGCAACUCUAGGCUGCGUGAAAACACACAGAUGUUAAUAUCAGUCACCAAAAGGGUUGACAAAUUAACCAAAAACCAAAAUGUACUCUUGUUUCCUCUCUCCUGCUCAGACACUUCCUGUUUCUGUGUAUGAAAAUAAUUCUGACCCAUAGCUCCGCCCCUUCAGCACAGAGAGAACCAAUAGAGCUUCAGGAGCUGCCUUGUCCAAUCAGAUCAGAGACAGCAGGUCCUGUACUCUGUGGUGAACUGUAAAAGACACAAAACAAAUCAAAUCAAAUCAAAUUUAUUGUCAUUUGGUUGAUUGAAAAACAAAACGAGAAGGCGUUUCUCCGGGAUCAAGAUCAAGUACACAUACAUUUCAAACAAAUCCCAAUGAUGAAUAAAUAAAUAAAUAAUAAAUAAAGUCCAGUGAGAAGAUCUAGGACGCUGGUGCAUUGAGCAUCCUGACAGCUUGAGGCAGGAAGCUGUUCUGCAGCCUGGUGGAGCAUCUUAAGCUGCGAUAGCGCUUCUGUGAGGGUAGGAGCUGAAAGAAGCUGUUCAGAGGGUGAGAGGGGUCUCUCACUAUUUUCUGGGCCCUAUUCCUGCAGCGGCUUAGGAAUAUGUCCUGGACAGAGGGAAGUGAGGCUCCAAUGACCUUUUCCGCUGAUCUCACCACUCUUUGCAGGGCCUUUUUGUCCGCCACACUGCAGCUGGAGAACCAGGUAGAGAUGGCGUACGUCACAACGCUGUGGCUGAGUAAGCCUCUCUUGGGAUUUCUAUAGAGUUUGGGGACUUCAGCCUCCCAGGGUGACUAAGGCUAAUUUAUUUUUUCAAGAUAAAAUUACAAGACAGAUAAAGAAAGCAUAUCAGCAUUGUACACCAUAUCCAAUUAUACACUGCAUAGUGGUAGGCUACAUAGCCUGAAGCUUUGGCUGGAAAGGUCCUCAUUCAACCAUAGAAGGAAGUCCACCUGAAUGAGUUAGCCUUCUUUUAGCAAUAAUAAUAAAGCUAUACCUAGUGGUCAACCUGCAAGAGUUAGCCUACUGUCAGCUCUGAUGCUAAAAAAGAGAAUUGCUUUAGGUCUGACAUGGAGAACCGUAUGCAGUGAGGUUUUCUUCUAGCUACGACAGCUAUGUGAUGGUUUUCUGCAUAGUGCUUCAUUUCUUUAUGUGCUAAAUAUCUCCCACCACAGACUCUUGAUUGUUUAUGUUCCUCUCUUAUUAACUUCUCAUAACUUAACAUAAAGAUUGUGACAUUUACAUGUUAACAUUGUUGCUGCCAGAUUUCUAAGCCAGUAUUUCGAAUUCUACAACAUGGGCCUUUCAGACUGUUACUGUUAUUAAGAGCAAUACCAAUAAAUGAUUUUUCAGUGUCGACAGACAGACUAUUAAUUUGUAUUACAAUUGAUUUGCUGUUAAUUGUAAAGGUGCAUUUUACCCACUACAGAUAUUCAGAGAGUUAAGGUUGAAGUGAUCAGUUAAAAAUAAUACACAUGCUUAGAGAUAAGUACCAGGGUGAGGUAGUUCUCUAAGGAAAGGAACACAUAUUGUUCUACUCAGGCCACUUCCAUAUUAACCAUA
Molecule: long non-coding RNA, 3459 nt
Organism: Gadus chalcogrammus (walleye pollock)
Lineage: Eukaryota; Metazoa; Chordata; Actinopteri; Gadiformes; Gadidae
Exons: 3
Source: RefSeq, a predicted model, not a curated record